Molecule: transfer RNA, 75 nt
Filed under: Candidatus Komeilibacteria bacterium CG_4_9_14_0_2_um_filter_36_13
Lineage: Bacteria; Candidatus Komeiliibacteriota
Also listed under: 2 other names
Description: tRNA-Arg
Rfam family: tRNA
About the family: Transfer RNA (tRNA) molecules are approximately 80 nucleotides in length. Their secondary structure includes four short double-helical elements and three loops (D, anti-codon, and T loops).
Source: RNAcentral
GUCCUUGUAGUUUAAUGGAUAGAACAAGGCUCUCCUAAGGCCUAAAUAGAGGUUCGAUUCCUCUCAAGGACACCA